RNAcentral lists this ribosomal RNA (395 nucleotides) under uncultured bacterium. RNAcentral's name for it is "partial 16S ribosomal RNA". It matches the Rfam family "Bacterial small subunit ribosomal RNA", at positions 523 to 918 of the family's 1533-position model. The record is from RNAcentral.
AUACGUAGGGGGCGAGCGUUGUCCGGAAUUACUGGGCGUAAAGGGUGCGUAGGUGGCACUUUAAGUUGGAUGUGAAAUCCCCGGGCUCAACCUGGGAACUGCCUUUGUGACUGCAAGGCUAGAGUACGGUAGAGGGGGAUGGAAUUCCGCGUGUAGCAGCGAAAUGCGUAGAUAUGCGGAGGAACACCGAUGGCGAAGGCAAUCCCCUGGGCCUGUACUGACGCUCAUGCACGAAAGCGUGGGGAGCAAACAGGAUUAGAUACCCUGGUAGUCCACGCCCUAAACGAUGUCAACUGGUUGUUGGGUCUUCAUUGACUCAGUAACGAAGCUAACGCGUGAAGUUGACCGCCUGGGGAGUACGGCCGCAAGGUUGAAACUCAAAUGAAUUGACGGGG